CCAGACUCCUACGGGAGGCAGCAGUGGGGAAUAUUGGGCAAUGGAGGAAACUCUUACCCAGCAAUGCCGCGUGAAUGAAGAAGGUCUUCGAAUUGUAAAGUUCUUUAAUUGGGGACGAAACAAAUGACGGUACUUGAUGAAUAAGCCACGGCUAACUACGUGCCAGCAGCCGCGGUAAUACGUAGGUGGCAAGCGUUAUCCGGAUUUACUGGGUGUAAAGGGCGUGUAGGCGGGACUGCAAGUCAGAUGUGAAAACCAUGGGCUCAACCCAUGGCCUGCAUUUGAAACUGUAGUUCUUGAGUGUUGGAGAGGCAGGCGGAAUUCCGUGUGUAGCGGUGAAAUGCGUAGAUAUACGGAGGAACACCAGUGGCGAAGGCGGCCUGCUGGACAAUAACUGACGCUGAGGCGCGAAAGCGUGGGGAGCAAACAGGAUUAGAUACCCUCGUAUUG
RNAcentral lists this ribosomal RNA (450 nucleotides) under uncultured bacterium. Its description in RNAcentral is "bacterial SSU rRNA". It matches the Rfam family "Bacterial small subunit ribosomal RNA", at positions 331 to 793 of the family's 1533-position model. The record is from RNAcentral.